RNAcentral lists this ribosomal RNA (604 nucleotides) under Microvirgula aerodenitrificans. RNAcentral describes it as "bacterial SSU rRNA". It matches the Rfam family "Bacterial small subunit ribosomal RNA", at positions 78 to 677 of the family's 1533-position model. The record is from RNAcentral. Lineage: Bacteria; Pseudomonadati; Pseudomonadota; Betaproteobacteria; Neisseriales; Aquaspirillaceae.
GCUUGCUCCUGCUGACGAGUGGCGAACGGGUGAGUAAUGCAUCGGAACGUGCCGAAUAGUGGGGGAUAACGCACCGAAAGGUGUGCUAAUACCGCAUACGCCCUGAGGGGGAAAGUGGGGGACCGCAAGGCCUCACGCUAAUCGAGCGGCCGAUGUCGGAUUAGCUAGUUGGUGGGGUAAAGGCUCACCAAGGCGACGAUCCGUAGCGGGUCUGAGAGGAUGAUCCGCCACACUGGGACUGAGACACGGCCCAGACUCCUACGGGAGGCAGCAGUGGGGAAUUUUGGACAAUGGGGGAAACCCUGAUCCAGCCAUGCCGCGUGUCUGAAGAAGGCCUUCGGGUUGUAAAGGACUUUUGUCCGGGAGGAAACCCUGAUCGUUAAUAGCGGUCGGGACUGACAGUACCGGAAGAAUAAGCACCGGCUAACUACGUGCCAGCAGCCGCGGUAAUACGUAGGGUGCAAGCGUUAAUCGGAAUUACUGGGCGUAAAGCGUGCGCAGGCGGUGAGAUAAGUCAGCUGUGAAAGCCCCGGGCUCAACCUGGGAACUGCGGCCGAAACUGUCUCGCUAGAGUACGUCAGAGGGGGGUGGAAUUCCACGUGUA